Molecule: long non-coding RNA, 2441 nt
Filed under: Citrus x clementina
Lineage: Eukaryota; Viridiplantae; Streptophyta; Magnoliopsida; Sapindales; Rutaceae
Description: Citrus clementina (C. clementina) long non-coding RNA (CCLE_LNC001313)
Source: RNAcentral
AAAAAGUCUUUUGAAAGAAGACCUAUUUUUUCACUCUUCUAUUUGCUACAAACAAGUAUUUGAAGAGUUAAAUCAGAAAAGUCUUUUGGCCACGCUAGCUCUAAAAUGCAAUUGAUGUUAAUAACUCGGAUUGUCUUUCGCCUAUCAUUUUUAUGCUAAUAUUAUACAAUAUAUUGGUUGCUCUUUGAAUCCUUAUGUGACAUAAAGUGAUUACUACUUCUUUGUUAUUGUUUAUCUAAUAAUCAUAAGUAUUUAUUUAAUCUUAUAAGUUCUUUUUAAUUUUUUUUUUGUUAUUGUUUGGUUAUCUUUUGAGCGGAGUUUUUAGAGAUUAAAUAAGCUAUUUUGAUUCUAUUAGUAGAAGUUUAAAUUUUUAGGUUUUUGAGAAUAAAAGUUGAAAAGCUUUUUAAAAAUACUGAAAUGUCUAAAAUAUCAUUUAUUUUUUGACAAUCUUAUUUCAUCUAUUUCAUAACAUAGCUUAAAAAAUGCAUAUUAAAAUAAUUUUAUAUUUUUAAUAAAAGCUCUCAUUAACAAUCAAACAAUUAAUUUUUUUUUUAUAAAAACUUUACUAACAAAAACACUAAUUAAAAAAAAUUUAUUUGAAAAGGUACAUGAAAUAGAGCCUUAGUAGAUUAUUAUACUUUCCUUUCAUAUUUACUAGAACUUAAUUAUUUUUCCUUUUGGAUUCACUAGACUCUCCCCCAUUGAAAUGAUGCAAAAAGUUUUAAUACUUCAUUUGAAGGCGGCAUGAUUAUUAGUUUUGUAGUGUAAAACAGAAAAUUUUACACUAAAUAAGAUUAUUACUUGAUGUUUAAUCAUGAUAUGGAGCAAAAUUUUAUACUGUUGCAAGUAGAGCUAACCCAAGUUGACUUAGUUUAAUUACAAACCUACCGAUACCUGCCAGUUUCAAAAUUUAAAUAACAAUAAAACGAUCUAAAAUGUUGGCGUCCAAUAUAAUUUAUACACGAAAAGCUAUUCACUGACUGCCACAUCAACGUGGUAUAUAUAUUCAUUUUUAAGUUUUGCGAUAAGGCUAAUUUGUCAUGAUCACUAUCUUAAUAAACUUAGCUUAGUGUACACAGUUCCAAAACGAAAACAAAGAUAUAAUAAAUGCACUACUCUUUAAUUUAUUUAUAGUUAUCGUUUUCAUAUAUGAAGCCCGACUCCCGAGUAUGCGGUAUGAUGUGAUACCACCGUAUGUGUAUAUAUAUUUAUAUUAUUAUUGCUAGUAUGGAUGAUAUCAUUGUUUGUUAUCUAUUACCAACACAACGACAAUUUGCGUAUGGCCUAUGAUUGACAUUUACUUGAGACUUAAAAAUUAUGAGUUAUAAUUUAUACAAUAAUGAGGAGUAUGUAAAAAUCGAAUGAAAAUGAUGUGAGAAUUUGUUUAUUUCCGAAGAAACUUCCAAACAUCGAUCAUACAUUGAUAGAUACAGAUACUGUUAAGAUUUCGUUGUCAUUUGGUUUUUUAGGGUUCAUUACUGCAUGUUUUGGUAAAAGCCUCUUUUAGUUUAUAUAAUGGUUUAACCAAUUCUUUCGGGUACCAAGCAAUUUCUUUUGGUCCUUCAAGUUUUGUAGUCAAAUUUUGGUUCCUCACACCUCCUACUUUUUUUUUUUUAAUAUUGAUAUUCGGGAUUGUAGGUAUUACAAUUAAUAUUUACAAACAGAUUCUACAAUUGGAACCUUCUUCGUGGUAUGUACUCCUCUGAAGAGCUAUUCAAAUUCUUCAAACCCUCUCAAAUAUUCGAGGGCUGUCCACUCCACUCACGAAAUCUCUCUCAAAUAUUCGAGGGCUGUUCACUCCACUCAUAUUUCGUGAUGGAUAGACUGACUCCACUCAAUUAUCUGAUAAUUAAGGAAAAAUUAUAAAUAAUUCCUAUAAAUAUUUUUAUAGAAGUUCGAACUCUUACACUCAACAUUAUAAUUACAAAAACUCUCCCGGUGGACCAAAGACUCAUUGGUCCCACACCUGCUACUUGACAAUUAUUUGCUUCCUCGACAAAAUAUUAUACCACCAGCAAUCCAAAUUCUAGUCUGAAGUCUCUGUCUCUACAGGGAAACAUUUUUUAAUUGUCAGUGUACGGGAAAAAGUUGUUGAAAUUACUUUUUAGCUUGGGCCAUCAAAGGUAGAUCCAAUGUUUUUAUAGCCCAUGUUUCAAUCCAAUUUUAUUUAUUUAUUUAUUUAUUUUCUCGAGGAAGUGAUUUUAGUCAUGUCUGUUAGGCAUGCGCAAUAUGCAUGAAGUACUACGGAUUUAAGUUAUUUAUAUGUAAUCAAUAUCGUACUACAAUAUUUUACCACUAAAGAAUUACAAAAUGUAAUAAUUUACUACUUUUUCAUUAGUUGACUUAUAAAAUAUUAAUUUUAUCCUUACUUUGAGGGGAAAAAAACAUAUAAAUUCUAAUAAAGCUCAACAAUUUUCAUAUUGUAUCAAAAACCCAAAAAA